Molecule: ribosomal RNA, 836 nt
Filed under: uncultured bacterium
Lineage: Bacteria
Description: bacterial SSU rRNA
Rfam family: Bacterial small subunit ribosomal RNA
Source: RNAcentral
AGUCGAACGAACUUAACCAUUAGUUUACUAUUGGAGCGGUUAGUGGCGGACUGGUGAGUAACACGUAAGCAACCUGCCUAUCAGAGGGGAACAACAGUUAGAAAUGACUGCUAAUACCGCAUAUGCCUUGAGUAUCACAUGGUACAAAAGGGAAAGGAGCAAUCCGCUGAUAGAUGGGCUUGCGUCUGAUUAGAUAGUUGGUGAGGUAACGGCCCACCAAGUCGACGAUCAGUAGCCGGACUGAGAGGUUGAACGGCCACAUUGGGACUGAGAUACGGCCCAGACUCCUACGGGAGGCAGCAGUCGGGAAUAUUGCGCAAUGGAGGAAACUCUGACGCAGUGACGCCGCGUGCAGGAAGAAGGUUUUCGGAUUGUAAACUGCUUUAGACAGGGAAGAAACAAGACAGUACCUGUAGAAUAAGCCCCGGCUAACUACGUGCCAGCAGCCGCGGUAAUACGUAGGGAGCAAGCGUUAUCCGGAUUUAUUGGGUGUAAAGGGUGCGUAGACGGGAAAUUAAGUUAGUUGUGAAAUCCCUCGGCUUAACUGAGGAACUGCAACUAAAACUGAUUUUCCUGAGUGCUGGAGAGGAAAGUGGAAUUCCUAGUGUAGCGGUGAAAUGCGUAGAUAUUAGGAGGAACACCAGUGGCGAAGGCGACUUUCUGGACAGUAACUGACGUUGAGGCACGAAAGUGUGGGGAGCAAACAGGAUUAGAUACCCUGGUAGUCCACACCGUAAACGAUGGAUACUAGGUGUAGGGUGUGAUAAACAUUCUGUGCCGUCGCAAACGCAGUAAGUAUCCCACCUGGGGAGUACGGCCGCAAGGUUGAAACUCAA